GACGAACGCUGGCGGCGUGCCUAACACAUGCAAGUCGUACGGGGACCGGGGGCAACUCCGGUUCAGUGGCAGACGGGUGCGUAACACGUGAGGAACUUGUCCGGUGGCGGGGGAGUAGCCGGCCCAACGGCCGGGUAAUACCGCAUACGCUCGUUCGGGGGCGAUCCCUGGGCGAGGAAAGCAGCCGCAAGGUUGCGCCGACGGAGGGCCUCGCGACCUAUCAGCUUGUUGGCGGGGUAACGGCCCACCAAGGCGACGACGGGUAGCUGGUCUGAGAGGAUGAUCAGCCACAUUGGGGACUGAGACACGGCCCAGAUCCUACGGGAGGGCAGCAGUGGGGGAAUAUUGCGCAAUGGCCGCAAGGCUGACGCAGCGACGCCGCGUGUGGGA
Molecule: ribosomal RNA, 390 nt
Filed under: uncultured bacterium
Lineage: Bacteria
Description: bacterial SSU rRNA
Rfam family: Bacterial small subunit ribosomal RNA
Source: RNAcentral